This 698-nucleotide ribosomal RNA is filed under the name uncultured Pseudomonadota bacterium. RNAcentral's name for it is "bacterial SSU rRNA". It matches the Rfam family "Bacterial small subunit ribosomal RNA", at positions 28 to 770 of the family's 1533-position model. Lineage: Bacteria; Pseudomonadati; Pseudomonadota. The record is from RNAcentral.
AACGAACGCUGGCGGCAGGCCUAACACAUGCAAGUCGAGCGCGGUCCUUCGGGACUGAGCGGCGGACGGGUUAGUAACGCGUGGGAACGUACCCUUUUCUACGGAAUAGCCUCGGGAAACUGAGAGUAAUACCGUAUAAGCCCUUCGGGGGAAAGAUUUAUCGGGAAAGGAUCGGCCCGCGUUAGAUUAGAUAGUUGGUGGGGUAAUGGCCUACCAAGUCUACGAUCUAUAGCUGGUUUUAGAGGAUGAUCAGCAACACUGGGACUGAGACACGGCCCAGACUCCUACGGGAGGCAGCAGUGGGGAAUCUUGGACAAUGGGCGCAAGCCUGAUCCAGCCAUGCCGCGUGUGUGAUGAAGGCCUUAGGGUCGUAAAGCACUUUCGCCAGGGAUGAUAAUGACAGUACCUGGUAAAGAAACCCCGGCUAACUCCGUGCCAGCAGCCGCGGUAAUACGGAGGGGGUUAGCGUUGUUCGGAAUUACUGGGCGUAAAGCGCACGUAGGCGGACUAGUCAGUCAGAGGUGAAAUCCCAGGGCUCAACCCUGGAACUGCCUUUGAUACUGCCAGUCUUGAGUUCGAGAGAGGUGAGUGGAAUUCCGAGUGUAGAGGUGAAAUUCGUAGAUAUUCGGAGGAACACCAGUGGCGAAGGCGGCUCACUGGCUCGAUACUGACGCUGAGGUGCGAAAGUGUGGGGAGCA